GACGAACGCUGGCGGCGUGCCUAAUACAUGCAAGUAGAACGCUGAAGGAGGAGCUUGCUCUUCUGGAUGAGUUGCGAACGGGUGAGUAACGCGUAGGUAACCUGCCUGGUAGCGGGGGAUAACUAUUGGAAACGAUAGCUAAUACCGCAUAAGAGUAGAUGUUGCAUGACAUUUGCUUAAAAGGUGCAAUUGCAUCACUACCAGAUGGACCUGCGUUGUAUUAGCUAGUUGGUGGGGUAACGGCUCACCAAGGCAACGAUACAUAGCCGACCUGAGAGGGUGAUCGGCCACACUGGGACUGAGACACGGCCCAGACUCCUACGGGAGGCAGCAGUAGGGAAUCUUCGGCAAUGGACGGAAGUCUGACCGAGCAACGCCGCGUGAGUGAAGAAGGUUUUCGGAUCGUAAAGCUCUGUUGUAAGAGAAGAACGAGUGUGAGAGUGGAAAGUUCACACUGUGACGGUAUCUUACCAGAAAGGGACGGCUAACUACGUGCCAGCAGCCGCGGUAAUACGUAGGUCCCGAGCGUUGUCCGGAUUUAUUGGGCGUAAAGCGAGCGCAGGCGGUUAGAUAAGUCUGAAGUUAAAGGCUGUGGCUUAACCAUAGUACGCUUUGGAAACUGUUUAACUUGAGUGCAAGAGGGGAGAGUGGAAUUCCAUGUGUAGCGGUGGAAUGCGUAGAUAUAUGGAGGAACACCGGUGGCGAAAGCGGCUCUCUGGCUUGUAACUGACGCUGAGGCUCGAAAGCGUGGGGAGCAAACAGG
Molecule: ribosomal RNA, 763 nt
Filed under: uncultured Streptococcus sp.
Lineage: Bacteria; Bacillati; Bacillota; Bacilli; Lactobacillales; Streptococcaceae
Description: bacterial SSU rRNA
Rfam family: Bacterial small subunit ribosomal RNA
Source: RNAcentral